AUGCGGAGGACUUUCUGGUGGUGUUUGCUGCACACGAGUUCAGGAACAAAGCACUGGCGGGUGGCGGCACCGUUCAUUGAGCAUCUUGGCAUCAAGCUUUUCAUCAAGCCAUGGCUCAGGCAGGCGGGGGCGGCAUCUAGGGUGAUGCGGGUUCAGGUGGACAUCAUGAUCGAGGGGAUCCCGUCUCAUGCUUGGGCCAGGGACACGGCGGCAGAGUUGCUCGGGAGUGCGUGCUUGAUCGACAGUUUGGCGCCGCAGACAACCAGCAGGGAGGACUUGUCGUUGUUCAAGCUGAGAGCUUGGUGCGUCGAUCCGGACGACGUGCCGGCGUUCAGGAAGCUCUGGGUGCCGAAGCCGCCGGAGGUGAGCGUGGACCCCGCGGCGCGGCGUGCUUCAUUCCGCCAGCUGCUGGAGUACCCAGCGUUCAUCCACAUCGGAAGGGUGAGGGACUUCUCGCCACCGGAGCUUUGGAGGCGGGCAUCUGGGUCGGAUAGCAGGAGUGGUCAGAGCGGGCUGCCGGACAGCUCGGGCGGCUCGUUCCAGGGAGGAGAGUGGGUUGUGCAGCCUUGGACUCGCGGAGUGUGUGAUGAUCGGGGUGCUGGCCGACGAUCGCAUUUUCCGGCCAACGACGGUGGUGGCGGCGCGCAACGCAGGUCCUACCGGGCGGCGCUGGAAGGCAGGGUGGGGCCAUCUGCAUGGAGGCUUCCGCACAUGGGAUCGGGCGCUUUGGCCGUCACACCUGCCCCGGUGGUGGCCCACGACGACCGGACUGUUCGGGAGCAGGAGCGUUCAAACGGGCUUAUCCUAACGCAAAGUGAGAUGCGCACAGCGCUGGGGACAGCUGGCAAUCGGACCGUGCCCUCCAAGGGGCCAAUCCUGGAGAACAGCGAGCUGCCCACAGAGGUGGAGACAGCUGCCAAGUCGGUACGGGCGGAUCAGUGCAUCCCAGAGAUGGAGAGGACGUUCGCUCUGAUGCAUAUGGUGGACCAGGAGACCGGCGCUGAUCCCGACAGGAUGCGCGGUUGGAGCGGGCCCAGACUGAGCCGGUGCUGGUUCCGUCGAUGGCGACCAGGGACAGGGCCACAGAUGAGGACAAGGAGGCUGGAAGCGCUCAGAGGACAGCUAGGGAGGGGCCACCACCGCUAG
This 1146-nucleotide ribosomal RNA is filed under the name Triticum aestivum (bread wheat). Its description in RNAcentral is "partial small subunit ribosomal RNA". The record is from RNAcentral. Lineage: Eukaryota; Viridiplantae; Streptophyta; Magnoliopsida; Poales; Poaceae.